This 69-nucleotide transfer RNA is filed under the name Ailuropoda melanoleuca (giant panda). It matches the Rfam family "tRNA". From Rfam's summary of the family: Transfer RNA (tRNA) molecules are approximately 80 nucleotides in length. Their secondary structure includes four short double-helical elements and three loops (D, anti-codon, and T loops). Further hydrogen bonds mediate the characteristic L-shaped molecular structure. tRNAs have two regions of fundamental functional importance: the anti-codon, which is responsible for specific mRNA codon recognition, and the 3' end, to which the tRNAs corresponding amino acid is attached (by aminoacyl-tRNA synthetases). tRNAs cope with the degeneracy of the genetic code in two manners: having more than one tRNA (with a specific anti-codon) for a particular amino acid; and 'wobble' base-pairing, i.e. permitting non-standard base-pairing at the 3rd anti-codon position. The record is from Rfam by way of RNAcentral. Lineage: Eukaryota; Metazoa; Chordata; Mammalia; Carnivora; Ursidae.
GCCUGGCUGGCUCAGAGGAGCAUGAGACUCUUGAUCUUGGGGUCAUGGGUUUGAGCCCCACGUUGGGUG